CACAACACACACGCGCGCACACACAAAGCGCAGCAGGUUCAACACUAGCUACAAUCACAAGUAGGCAGCAAUGGCGAGGCAUCGCCUCCUCGCCGUGCUCCUCAUCGGCAUAGUUGCAGCCUCCGCCUUCAACCAAGCAGCUGUGGCUGGCCGAGGCCUUGCUGCCAUCGAGAAGUUUGCAGAGCUAGAGCCAAAGCCAGAACCUAAACAAGAGCUAAUGCCCAAACCUAUGCCACACACAGAGCCAGAGCCAUGCAAACCUGAACCGACGCCCAAACCCAAACCAAAGCCCGAACAAAAGCCUGGACAUAAGCCUGAGCCAGAACCCAAGCCCAAGCCGAUGCCAAAACCGAAGCCCGAGCCCUGCUCCAAACCAAAGCUGGUGCCAAAACCCGAACCAAAGCCAGAGCCCAAGCCUGAACCUGAACCGAAACCGAAGCCGCCUCCAAAGUGCAAACCACCGACAACGCACAAUUGAUGGGAUGCUUAUAUAUGAGAGUUGAUGGAGGAGACCCCGCACGGAGCCACACUGUGCUAUUUCUAGAAUAAGUGGUGUAGUACUCCUUGUAUUCCAUUUCUUUCUAUUUUUCCAUGCAGAGUACGUACUAGUACUCUGUAAUUACUAUUUGCUUGUUGGUAUAUGUUCAUCUACUUUGUAUGUGACUGACUCGUUGUUCUUUUGAGUAUCUACGCAUGAUUGUAUUCAUUCACAUCAAUGAGCUAUUUCGUUAGUGGACUGCAGUCUAUGUUGUUUUCUCUAUGGGGUUGUUUCAUAUUAUGUGGUCUUUUUUGGGGGGAAAGACGAUGUCAACAAAAAAGAAGAAAAUGACUCCCUAAAUAGCAGCACACAUAUGAAGUGUAUAGUGUGCGCGUACGUGCCUGGUGUUCUAGAUGUAUAAAGUGUACUCACACGCAAGACAACAGCCUUGUUCUCUACCCUUCACCUAUGAGCUAAGUCCCGACCGUGUGCGUUAGUAUUUAUGCCCAGGCUGACUCCGCUGCUGGUUAUACUAGCUAAACUUUGCACACAUUGCUACGAAAAUUUAUAGCAAUGAAAUUUUGAAAACUAGCAUAUAUGGGGAUAAUACUACACAACAUUCUCACCAUAUGUCAAUGAAAACCUACAUGUAAUGGAGGGUGGAUGCAUUUUAUAUUGUCUUGUGACCUUAUAGUUUAAUUAUUUCUUGCUGAACAUAAAUAGUAAAAAAUAAUGAGGUGAAGAGCUUUCAUGUGUUUGAUGAUGUGGAGGACUUGCAUAUGAUGAAAAGUGAAAAGUUGAAUGAUUACAUGCACGCUUGAUGAUAUGGAGGACUUGCCUGUGAUGAAAAGUGGUAAGUGAAAGUUUAUUGGCUGCAUGCCCUUCAUAAUGUGAUUGACAUGCAUGUGUAUUUAAAUGGGAUGACUUACUUAGAUACUAUAUAGGAUAUGUUUGAAAGAUAACUACACCCCCUAGGUCAAGAUUACCAAGAAAAACACCAUGGAAAUUAUUAUUAAUAGAUUUUCUCUUACUCAAUUCGCAACAAGAAAAAACACUCAACGACAAUGCUAUGCAACAUAAGAGAGACCACAAUAAUCUCUCACCCACCCCAUGGUACUGCCAGGGUAGGCUCUAUGAUUUUAAGAGCCCUUGGGUGAAGUUGGCGAAUUGAUCAUCCUUAUUUUUUCCUUUUUCAACACUCAACAAAUCUUUUUUAAGAAACAUUAUAGUAACCCUAAAACUGACGAGGAAAGUAAAUACAUAAAUUGAACUUUGAAAUUAGAGGUCUAACAUUUAACAUGCUUCGAGGAAUGGGUGGCACUGAUAAUAUGGCUAUGGAUGCAUGCAAUGAGAGAUCUAGAGAGUGACAAGCUCGUGCCUUGUUGUCCUUGACGUAUGAGGAGGCGGCGAGACUCACGUCGUCAAGCUUCGAGACAAACCUGCAACGACGAAGAUCGUGAAUUGCAAUAAGGAGAACUGGUGAUGCCAUGUGUCCAUGUCGCAUACCGAUUGUGAUUCUUUUCCUUUUGAUGGACUAGUUCAACCAACGGCUAAAAGCCUAAAGCUUGCUUUUAGGAGAGCGUGUAUACCUCACUUUUAGUAGAGCUCCUUCUCAACGCUUAUAGCGCUCGCUGCAGCGCACAUGUGCUCGUGCAAAUGGGUCUUCCCAUUAAUUGGUAAAGCAGUUGCUCGCCCGACCGCCCACUACACUCCUUUUUUGCCGCCUUCUUUUCCUGGUAUUGCUCUAUAUAUUAUUCAAUGAAAGAAAACUUCCACCGGGUUUACAAAUUUAAAAAAAUCAUGAAUAUGAAAAGGUUCACAAAUGUGAAAAAAUACGGAUUUGAAAAUAUAAUUUAUUCAAAAACAUGGACAACUUCUAAAAAAUCACAAAUUCAUUUUUUGCGAAUUCGAAAAGGUGAAUUAAAAAAUUGUAAUUUCAAAAAACUCGCAAAUAUGAAAAAAUGUUCACAAAAUAAAGAGUUCAUGAAUUUAAAAAUAAUAAAAGAAUGCAAACAGAAAAGAGAAACAAGGCGGAAAAGUAAAAAAGAAAAACCAGGCAGAAAGUUUACAGAACCAAAGUUGACCCAUAAGCUUUUGGAAAAUUCCUAAAAACGGGAGGGAGCUUCCGCUCACGUAAACCCCAUAGAUUGGCCACCCCUUAUACGAUCUAUUGAAGGAAGAGGUGUAUGCGCUUUCUACCAAUAACUUAGACACUAGUGCUAAAUAGCAUAUUUCCACUUUUAGCGAGGGGUAGAACGAAAUUUGACUAUAAAGCCACGGCAUGGGCCAAUCGCAACAUUUUCUUUCUAACAAACAAGAUUUUUCUAUAGGGGCACACGUCUCACUCUAAUGAGCGUGUUUUUUUCAUUCUUAUUUUCACUUUUUUUUCUCAUUUUCUAGAAAACGUUCUAUAAAAUAUAUGGGUUUGUACUUUUGGUAAGUGAUCAUGUAGUUUAAUAAGUGUAAAUGUACUUAAAAAUGCUCAUCAUGUAUUUAUAAAACAUUUUCAAAAAAAUCAAACAUUUUUCAAAUACACAUAGAACUGAAAAGUGUUCAAAUAUUUUCCGAAAAUAUACACUGUGAACAUUUUGAACAAUAUAGGAUGAAGAUUUCUUUCAAUACAUGAUGAACCUUUCAAAUAACAAUAUUUUUCUAAAAUUGCACAAUGAUUUUUUUAAAUCCAUGAUAAUGUUUAAAUAUACAAUAUUAUUUUCAUACACGACGAACAUUUUGAAAAAACAUGAGUGAGCAUUGCCCAACUCCCAUGAGGGAGGGGCGAUGAUCGUGGUGCACUUUCGGCUUGGUCGAGUGAUUGUAGACAUCGCUAGGUGGUCUAUGGAACUGGAUGUAAGUUAUGUUACUUCAGGUGUUCUUAUACUGACAUGAUAGUUGAUAAAUAGAUCGAAAGUUUUUUUUUGUAAAAAAUAAAAGAAACAUUUCGAACUUGUCUUAAAAAUUGUUCCUGAGAUUUUGAAAAUAUAUUUGCCUUGUUCCAAAAAAUUACAUUUUCAUUUUUCACAUGUUUAGAAAAUUGUUCAUGGCAAUACUAAAAAUGUUUCAUUAUAAAAAAAGUUCUUACAUUUUUUAUAAAAAUGUUCAUAGUAUAUCAAAAAAUUUCAUCAUGUAUUUAUAAAACGUUCAAAUAUGUAUUGGAAAAAUAUUAUAUGUGUAUUUUUAAAAAUAUUUUGAAAAAAAAUCAGCAUGUAUUUGAAAUAUGGAAAAAUGAAAAAGAAAAUACAAAACAAAACAUGAAAUAAAUGAAGAAAAGUAAAAGGGGUAUGAAAAUGAAAAACCUAAAGAAACGCGAUAAAGAAACCAGAAGAAAAAACCCAAACAGAAUGUUUCAAAAAUCGCACGAAACGAACCAAUGCUACGCCUCCACCGCGACUGGGCCACAGCCCGCACACCAUUGCCAGAGGUGAGGGCCGCAUUUGCGCAAAAUGACCGCACACAUUGAACAAACUGUCAGCUAGCUAGUUAUUAGAAUGACAUGUAACUUUAUUCAAACUCAACAAAGUUACAGGUACAAUGCUUUGAUCAUGCAUACAAGAAAUUAUAAAAUAAUUCCUAUAACUAAGAAUUACGAUGCAACCCUCUUGAGUAAAAGUAUGACAAACGGAGGAAAAAAAUAUUAGCACAAUAUAAUCCUUGCUCUAUCCGAAUAUAUGGCGGUACAAAACUCAGCAACCCCGUUCGUUUUGGAGCUCCGGCUCCAUGAGGCCUUUUUUGGAAAAUCAGACAUGCAUAACUAAAACAUACGUGAUCUAACAUAUCUUAUAUUAGUUUACAGAGGGAGUACAUGCAUAAGUAAAACAUACGCAUGCAUGAGACUGGAGAAUGAGGGGCAUGCAUCGUCAAAAUAGGGUAGUUUGUCGGACAGUUAUAAGAUUUAAUAAUUUGGGGCAAUAAGCAUGAUAAAUCCUCAUUGGUAUCUAUAAUUUUGAAACUGUGCCCAGUAUACCGGGCCAGAGGGAGUGCUUGAGAAACACUUUUUACAAAAAGAAGGAUAACCCCUGAUCUAUGCAUAAGCAAUGCACACAGCCACUUUUAUUAUAUUAUUCAACAAAAUCUGACAAAACUAGUACAUGGACAACAUAAAGCCAUCUUCAUGGCAACCACUUGAGAAAACACUGAGUCCGUGAAAACUCGGUCGACGAAGCAGUCCAGGGAGCCUUGGGGCUUCCAACAGGUGGUGAAGCUCCCGCACAGGGUGUACGAUCGGGCCAAUUCCUUUCCAUUGUGAAUUGAACUGAAGUGAUUGCUUUUUUUUUACUUUGUAUUGCAAUUGCACUAACAUAAUUCUAAUGAUGGACGGUCACAUGGACGUGUGAGCACGGGAUUGACAAGCCAACUAACAUAAUUCUAUUACUACGAGGAUGCAACUAAUAGACUAAAAAUAUUGUUACUCACCCCCGCUGUCAUAACAAAGAGACACACACGCAAAAUCCAGCUGUGCUUAUUAACACCUCUACCUACCUAGGUUGCUUCAUUUGUAAUCAACUAAUCAACGAAUAUAACUCCAUUGACGUGUUAUGCAGUACUCUUUCACUUCAGCUAGCUAGCUGCAAUUCUAAUUAAUGCAGCCUCCAGAUCUGCUUUGUUUCACCAAGCCUAUAAAACCACACAAUAUGUAUCUCCAGUUCUCCACACAACACACACACACACACACACACACACACAAAACACAGCAGGUGCAACACUAGCUAGCUGUAAGCAUAAGAAGUAGGCAGCAAUGGCGAGGCAUCGCCUCCUCGUCGUGCUCCUCAUCGGGAUAGUUGCAGCCUCCGCCUUCAACCAAGCAGCUGCCGCUGGCCGAGGCCUUGCUGUCGUUGAGAAGUUUGCAGAGCUAGAGCCAAAGCCAGAGCCCAAACCAGAACCAAUUCCCAAGCUUACGCCACACCCAGAGCCAGAGCCUUGCAAACCUGAACCAAUGCCCAAACCCAAACCAAAACCCGAACAAAAGCCCGGACAGAAGCCCGAACCAGAACCCAAGCCCAAGCCAAUGCCAAAACCAAAGCCCGAGCCCUGCUCCAAACCAAAGCCAGAUCCUAAGCCCGAGCCGAUGCCGAAACCCGAACCAAAGCCGGAGCCCAAGCCUAAACCUGAACCGAAACCGAAGCCGCCUCCGAAGUGCAAAUCACCGGCAACACACAAUUGAUGGGAUAAUUAUAUAUGACACUUGACGAAGGAGACCUGGAAUGGAGCCACACUGUGUUAUUGUUAGAAUAAGUGGUGUAGUAUUCUCUGUAUUCACUUUCUUUUUAUUGUUCCAUGAGCGCGUGAUGAGUAUUAGAACUCUGUGAUUAUUAUUUUCUUGUUGCUAUAUGUUCAUCUACUUUGUAUGUGACCAGACUCGUUGUUCUUUUGAGUAUAAGUGCAUGAUUGUAUUCAUUCGCAUGAAUGAGCUAUGUUGUCCAGUGGGCUGCAGUCUAUUGUUG
This 5916-nucleotide long non-coding RNA is filed under the name Triticum aestivum (bread wheat). Its description in RNAcentral is "long non-coding RNA (TAES_LNC009158)". The record is from RNAcentral. Lineage: Eukaryota; Viridiplantae; Streptophyta; Magnoliopsida; Poales; Poaceae.